UACAGAGGUCUCAAGCGUUGUUCGGAUUCAUUGGGCGUAAAGGGCGCGUAGGUGGUGGCUUAAGCGUGCGGUGAAAGCUCGGGGCUCAACUCCGAGUCGGCCGUGCGAACUGGGCUCACUGGAGCAUAGUAGAGGCAGGUGGAAUUCCGGGUGUAGCGGUGGAAUGCGUAGAGAUCCGGAAGAACACCGGUGGCGAAGGCGGCCUGCUGGGCUAUGGCUGACACUGAGGCGCGACAGCGUGGGGAGCAAACAGG
RNAcentral lists this ribosomal RNA (254 nucleotides) under uncultured bacterium. RNAcentral's name for it is "partial 16S ribosomal RNA". It matches the Rfam family "Bacterial small subunit ribosomal RNA", at positions 524 to 776 of the family's 1533-position model. The record is from RNAcentral.